CCCAAAGGGAACAAUGGGUUUCAUUAAUGGAAAUCAACACAUUUAAAAAGAACAUAUUUGUUUGUUCAGAUCACAUCCUUAGAAGUGAUAUAAGGGAGAUAAUAUUAUCAGUAGCCAGACUUUAUUAAAAAAAUCAGCUCUACCUCAAAGGAUUUCUGAUGCACUGGUUAAAAACACAGCAGCCAAUAAUUCAGUUAAUUUACCAAGUGAUUUACCCUUCAAAGCUACAGGGGUAGCUUUCCUGAAGAGUGCAAAAACUUCUUUAGCUUUCAAAAUGGUAUAUAGUACAAACAGUGAAGCUAAUAUAGACACAUCUGAUCAUUCAUCAUCAACAAUAACUGCAUCUGAGAAUUAUAGUUCUACAGUAACCGUGGAGUCUAGGUCAACAAUUACUAUUUCUCAUCCAAGCCGUUUUUGUUUAACUGCUACACAUUCCCUGACUCUGCCAAGGAAAAGGGUAAAAUCAAAAUGAUAUCCUGAGGACCUAAGCACUGAUGAUUCCACCGUUUCAAGAGCUUAAUCACUUGUCACCAGAUUAUGGAAAAAAAAUAAAGAACAAAAAAUUAAAAUUCGAUGAUUGCAACAAGCAAAUUUGCGCCAAAGAAAUUGAAUUAGAUGUCUCAAGUCAUUAUUAAAAUACUUACAUGAAAUAAUAACAUGAUUUUAUGGAAAAGCCCAACAUACUACAUAUUUUAUUUGACUUGUAAAAGCACUUGUUUGUAUAUUACUACUAAUAAACUCUCUAAUCUAAUCUAUUGUA
RNAcentral lists this long non-coding RNA (760 nucleotides) under Anthonomus grandis grandis. RNAcentral describes it as "uncharacterized LOC126747557". Lineage: Eukaryota; Metazoa; Arthropoda; Insecta; Coleoptera; Curculionidae. The record is from RNAcentral.